Molecule: unclassified non-coding RNA, 17 nt
Filed under: Mus musculus (house mouse)
Lineage: Eukaryota; Metazoa; Chordata; Mammalia; Rodentia; Muridae
Description: oocyte_clustered_small_RNA7359
Source: RNAcentral
UUGGACCUAGCACUGAA